GACGAACGCUGGCGGCGUGCUUAACACAUGCAAGUCGAACGGUAAGGCUCCAGCUUGCUGGGGUACACGAGUGGCGAACGGGUGAGUAACACGUGGGUGACCUGCCCUGCACUUCGGGAUAAGCCUGGGAAACUGGGUCUAAUACCGGAUAGGACCGCACCGUGAGGGUGUGGUGGAAAGUUUUUGCGGUGUGGGAUGGGCCCGCGGCCUAUCAGCUUGUUGGUGGGGUAAUGGCCUACCAAGGCGGCGACGGGUAGCCGGCCUGAGAGGGUGGACGGCCACAAUGGGACUGAGACACGGCCCAGACUCCCACGGGGGGCAGCAGGGGGGAAUAUUGCACAAUGGGCGGAAGCCUGAUGCAGCGACGCCGCGUGGGGGAUGACGGCCUUCGGGUUGUAAACUCCUUUCACCAUCGACGAAGGGUUUCUGACGGUAGAUGGAGAAGAAGCACCGGCUAACUACGUG
This 465-nucleotide ribosomal RNA is filed under the name uncultured bacterium. Its description in RNAcentral is "partial 16S ribosomal RNA". It matches the Rfam family "Bacterial small subunit ribosomal RNA", at positions 28 to 507 of the family's 1533-position model. The record is from RNAcentral.